Molecule: long non-coding RNA, 675 nt
Organism: Alosa alosa (allis shad)
Lineage: Eukaryota; Metazoa; Chordata; Actinopteri; Clupeiformes; Clupeidae
Exons: 3
Source: RefSeq, a predicted model, not a curated record
UUUAUGUGUGGCUUUGGACAAAUGUGUCUGCCAAAUCCCAUAACCAUAACCAUAACCAUAACAUCAGGGAAAAUUGCUCACUCUUUCCAUAUGUCACUGUGCCACACCUAUUUUUCUGUGACCAGUUCAUCCACUAUUGUGAAGCCAUGGGGUGGGGCCCACAACAACAGGUAACGUGAUGAUGAAUGGUAUGUUCAACGUAAUAAAUAUUCAGUAUGUAGGCAAAGAGUAUUGAAGUAGCCUACUUCUAUAGUCUGGCGUGUGUAAGAAGCAUUAAAAUGUAAGUAAAUGCAUUGCAUUUUAAUAAACGUAAUCGGUUGCACGGUCUCUGAACGUGUCUGUUUGUUUCAAUGACUCCGGUAUAUAAGCCUAUAGUUUGAGUGGGUGGUGCAAAGUAAAUAGACGUAACAUUUUUUUUUUUUUGUUCUCGUGCAUUAACAUACCCCAUUUGGCAGCGCCCGAAUCCGGAAGAAGCCAAUGAUCUUUUAAGAAUAGGCUACUGACAACAGGUGAAGAAUCACAGCGCCAGAGGUUUUCUAUCAAGUGAAAAAAACCCCUGCAAAACUCACCUGACCUGAAGUGGAUCAACUUGCUAUGUGGCCUAACCAAGGUCCUCCAAUGGGUCCCCCUGGCUACCCUGGUAUGGGUCCCCCCGGCUACCCUGGUAUGGGUCCC